RNAcentral lists this long non-coding RNA (223 nucleotides) under Fukomys damarensis (Damara mole-rat). RNAcentral describes it as "lncRNA (ENSFDAG00000023601.1)". Lineage: Eukaryota; Metazoa; Chordata; Mammalia; Rodentia; Bathyergidae. The record is from RNAcentral.
GUGUUGACUGAGAGGACACCCAGGCUUGGCAGCUGCUGCUUCUGAUGGAGACGCCUCAGCAAACAAUGCUCCCAAGGACUUUGGGGUUCCCCAUCCCACCUGGCCUGAGAGCAGCAUCCUCCUCCAGGAAGUUGGCAUAAUCUGCCUGACAGGUGGCCCAGGGUGUGGUCUGAAGGACCAAGAAACUCCACUAUAUAAUGCAGCCCUCAAGCUGGCCCCACAG